RNAcentral lists this ribosomal RNA (428 nucleotides) under uncultured prokaryote. RNAcentral describes it as "bacterial SSU rRNA". It matches the Rfam family "Bacterial small subunit ribosomal RNA", at positions 355 to 774 of the family's 1533-position model. The record is from RNAcentral.
UGGGGAAUCUUCCGCAAUGGGCGAAAGCCUGACGGAGCAACGCCGCGUGAAUGAAGAAGGCCUUCGGGUCGUAAAGUUCUGUCUUUAGGGAAGAAGUCUCUUUAUGUGAAUAAUGUAGAGAGGUGACGGUACCUGAGGAGGAAGCUCCGGCUAACUACGUGCCAGAAGCCGCGGGAAUACGUAGGGAGCAAGCGUGGUCCGGAAUUACUGGGCGGAAAGGGCGCGUAGGCGGGAUAUUAAGUUAGGUGUGAAAACUCCGGGCUCAACUUGGAGACUGCACUUAAAACUGGGAUUCUGGAGGACAGGAGAGGAAAGUGGAAUUCCUAGUGUAGCGGUGAAAUGCGUAGAUAUUAGGAGGAACACCAGUGGCGAAGGCGACUUUCUGGACUGUAACUGACGCUGAGGCGCGAAAGCGUGGGGAGUGAACG